CCUACGGGUGACUGCAGUGGGGAAUCUUGCACACUGGGGGAAACCCUGAUGCAGCAACGCCGCGUGAGUGUGGAAGUAUUUCGGUAUGUAAAGCCCUAUCAGCAGGGAAUAGAAAAGAAGGGACUAGAUAAAGCAGCCCCGGCUAACUACGUGCCAGCAGCCGCGGUAAUACGUAGGGGGCAAGCGUUAUCCGGAUGUACUGGGUGUAAAGGGAGCGUAGACGGAAAGGCAAGUCAGAAGUGAAAACCCAAGGCUCAACCAUGGGACUGCUUUUGAAACUGUCAAACUAGAGUACGGGAGAGGUAAGAGGAAUGCCUAGUGUAGCGGUGAAAUGCGUAGAUAUUAGGAGGAACACCAGUGGCGAAGGCGUCUUACUGGACCGAAACUGACGUUGAGGCUCGAAAGCGUGGGGAGCAAACAGGAUUAGAUACCCGAGUAGUC
RNAcentral lists this ribosomal RNA (441 nucleotides) under uncultured bacterium. RNAcentral's name for it is "partial 16S ribosomal RNA". It matches the Rfam family "Bacterial small subunit ribosomal RNA", at positions 338 to 795 of the family's 1533-position model. The record is from RNAcentral.